This 218-nucleotide ribosomal RNA is filed under the name uncultured Anaplasma sp. Its description in RNAcentral is "partial 16S ribosomal RNA". It matches the Rfam family "Bacterial small subunit ribosomal RNA", at positions 243 to 478 of the family's 1533-position model. Lineage: Bacteria; Pseudomonadati; Pseudomonadota; Alphaproteobacteria; Rickettsiales; Anaplasmataceae. The record is from RNAcentral.
AGCUAGUUGGUGGGGUAAUGGCCCACCAAGGCUGUGAUCUGUAGCUGGUCUGAGAGGAUGAUCAGCCACACUGGAACUGAGACACGGUCCAGACUCCCACGGGAGGCAGCAGUGGGGAAUAUUGGACAAUGGGCGCAAGCCUGAUCCAGCUGUGCCGCGUGAGUGAGGAAGGCCUUAGGGUUGUAAAACUCUUUCAGUAGGGAAGAUAGUGACGGUAC